RNAcentral lists this non-coding RNA (30 nucleotides) under Homo sapiens (human). The record is from RNAcentral. Lineage: Eukaryota; Metazoa; Chordata; Mammalia; Primates; Hominidae.
UGGGCCCCAGAGCAGUCCAUCUUCAAGGUC